UACGGAGGGUGCAAGCGUUGUUCGGAUUUACUGGGCGUAAAGGGCGCGUAGGCGGCGUGGUAAGUCAGCUGUGAAAUCUCCGAGCUUAACUCGGAACGGUCAGCUGAUACUGCUGUGCUAGAGUACAGAAAGGGCAAUCGGAAUUCUUGGUGUAGCGGUGAAAUGCGCAGAUAUCAGGAGGAACACCAAUUGCGAAGGCAGCUCGCUGGGACGUGACUGACGCUGAGACGCGAAAGCGUGGGGAGCAAACAGG
Molecule: ribosomal RNA, 253 nt
Filed under: uncultured bacterium
Lineage: Bacteria
Description: partial 16S ribosomal RNA
Rfam family: Bacterial small subunit ribosomal RNA
Source: RNAcentral